CGCAAGUGAAAUACCACUA
RNAcentral lists this small RNA (19 nucleotides) under Arabidopsis thaliana (thale cress). RNAcentral's name for it is "Ath_wt_15564". The record is from RNAcentral. Lineage: Eukaryota; Viridiplantae; Streptophyta; Magnoliopsida; Brassicales; Brassicaceae.